RNAcentral lists this transfer RNA (73 nucleotides) under Armillaria ostoyae. It matches the Rfam family "tRNA". From Rfam's summary of the family: Transfer RNA (tRNA) molecules are approximately 80 nucleotides in length. The record is from RNAcentral. Lineage: Eukaryota; Fungi; Basidiomycota; Agaricomycetes; Agaricales; Physalacriaceae.
GGCGGAAUGGCCGAGCGGUCUAAGGCGCUAGAUCCAGGCUUCACGGGCGCGAGUUCGAAUCUCGCUUCUGUCA